This 772-nucleotide ribosomal RNA is filed under the name Phylladiorhynchus acastus. RNAcentral's name for it is "SSU rRNA". It matches the Rfam family "Eukaryotic small subunit ribosomal RNA", at positions 592 to 1302 of the family's 1831-position model. The record is from RNAcentral. Lineage: Eukaryota; Metazoa; Arthropoda; Malacostraca; Decapoda; Galatheidae.
CAAUGGCAUAUAUUAAAGUUGUUGCGGUUAAAAUGCUCGUAGUUGGCUUUUUAACACUGUAGCUGAUGGUUGGCUGUAAAUCCUUUAAUUGGUAGGCUAAUCGAACAUGCUCAGUGAUUGCCGCGACAACUUAAAAAUUGUUUGGCUUUUUGGCUGGCUCGCACGGGAUGCUCUUUAUUGAGUGUCCCGAGUGGCUGGUAUGUUUACUUUGAAAAAAUUAGAGUGCUUAAAGCAGGCUAAAUUAAUGGCCUGAAUGGUGAUGCAUGGAAUAAUGAAAUAAGACCUCGGUUCCAUUUUCUUAUAUAUCGGUUUUCCUUUUUGGAACCCGAGGUAAUGAAUGAAGGGGAUAAACGGGGGCAUAUGUACUGCAACGCUAGAGGUGAAAUUCUUGGAUCGUUGUAUGACAAACAACUGCGAAAGCAUUUGCCAAGGAUGUUUUCAUUAAUCAAGAACGAAAGUUAGAGGUUCGAAGGCGAUCAGAUACCGCCCUAGUUCUAACCAUAAACGAUGCUAACCAGCGAUCUGCUGGAGUUAUGUACAUGACUCGGCGGGCAGCUUCCUGGGAAACCAAAGUCUUUGAGUUCCGGGGGAAGUAUGGUUGCAAAGUUGAAACUUAAAGGAAUUGACGGAAGGGCACCACCAGGAGUGGAGCCUGCGGCUUAAUUUGACUCAACACGGGAAACCUCACCAGGUCCGGACACUGGAAGGAUUGACAGAUUGAAAGCUCUUUCUUGAUUCAGUGGGUGGUGGUGCAUGGCCGUUCUUAGUUGGU